UUUUGGCUUCUCAUCCUUGUAAAUUCAUAACCUGUAUCAUUCUAAAGCUCUCUAGCAUUUCCCAAUCAAAAGUCACCUUCGCCACCAAACCCCUUCCCUUUAUCCUCCUUUCUCUGCUCAAUACCAGAUCCAAUCUAUCCUCUCCCCCUUUUCCCAUCUCCAAUUUCGACUCUUUAUCGCCCUAAUUUCCGGAUACACCACCUCUCAGAAACCCUAAUUGUGUACUAAACCCACAAUUCGAUAAUACCCAGUUUAAUUCUCCUUUCAAGAAAUCUCAGAUUAUCAAAAUCUAUAUUACCCAUUUGCCUUUUGUUGAUGGGCACAAUCAGAGCUAGCACUGGAGACCUUACCGCUUCUACCUCUCGCACUGAGACAAUAAAUGGAUC
Molecule: unclassified non-coding RNA, 386 nt
Filed under: Hevea brasiliensis (rubber tree)
Lineage: Eukaryota; Viridiplantae; Streptophyta; Magnoliopsida; Malpighiales; Euphorbiaceae
Source: RNAcentral